GAGAUAGAGGCGCGUUGCAUCAUCAGUACCCGACGCCAAUGCCGUGCAGGGCAGGCCCGGGGAAAGGGAUGGACGCCGAAGGCGGUCUUCGCUGCAAAGGAGGCCGAACUGGGCGGGCAAACUAAGAGUUGCCCGACUGUCGCAAAUGGUAAAGUUUGCGGAGGGCUAUCC
RNAcentral lists this non-coding RNA (171 nucleotides) under pig gut metagenome. RNAcentral describes it as "Lysine riboswitch". It matches the Rfam family "Lysine riboswitch aptamer". From Rfam's summary of the family: Riboswitches are metabolite binding domains within certain messenger RNAs that serve as precision sensors for their corresponding targets. The record is from RNAcentral.